GGUUAAGCGACUAAGCGUACACGGUGGAUGCCCUGGCAGUCAGAGGCGAUGAAGGACGUGCUAAUCUGCGAUAAGCGUCGGUAAGGUGAUAUGAACCGUUAUAACCGGCGAUUUCCGAAUGGGGAAACCCAGUGUGAUUCGUCACACUAUCAUUAACUGAAUCCAUAGGUUAAUGAGGCGAACCGGGGAACUGAAACAUCUAAGUACCCCGAGGAAAAGAAAUCAACCGAGAUUCCCCCAGUAGCGGCGAGCGAACGGGGAGCAGCCCAGAGCCUGAAUCAGUGUGUGUGUUAGUGGAAGCGUCUGGAAAGGCGUGCGAUACAGGGUGACAGCCCCGUACACAAAAAUGCACAUACUGUGAGCUCGAUGAGUAGGGCGGGACACGUGGUAUCCUGUCUGAAUAUGGGGGGACCAUCCUCCAAGGCUAAAUACUCCUGACUGACCGAUAGUGAACCAGUACCGUGAGGGAAAGGCGAAAAGAACCCCGGCGAGGGGAGUGAAAAAGAACCUGAAACCGUGUACGUACAAGCAGUGGGAGCACGCUUAGGCGUGUGACUGCGUACCUUUUGUAUAAUGGGUCAGCGACUUAUAUUCUGUAGCAAGGUUAACCGAAUAGGGGAGCCGAAGGGAAACCGAGUCUUAACUGGGCGUUAAGUUGCAGGGUAUAGACCCGAAACCCGGUGAUCUAGCCAUGGGCAGGUUGAAGGUUGGGUAACACUAACUGGAGGACCGAACCGACUAAUGUUGAAAAAUUAGCGGAUGACUUGUGGCUGGGGGUGAAAGGCCAAUCAAACCGGGAGAUAGCUGGUUCUCCCCGAAAGCUAUUUAGGUAGCGCCUCGUGAAUUCAUCUCCGGGGGUAGAGCACUGUUUCGGCAAGGGGUCAUCCCGACUUACCAACCCGAUGCAAACUGCGAAUACCGGAGAAUGUUAUCACGGGAGACACACGGCGGGUGCUAACGUCCGUCGUGAAGAGGGAAACAACCCAGACCGCCAGCUAAGGUCCCAAAGUCAUGGUUAAGUGGGAAACGAUGUGGGAAGGCCCAGACAGCCAGGAUGUUGGCUUAGAAGCAGCCAUCAUUUAAAGAAAGCGUAAUAGCUCACUGGUCGAGUCGGCCUGCGCGGAAGAUGUAACGGGGCUAAACCAUGCACCGAAGCUGCGGCAGCGACGCUUAUGCGUUGUUGGGUAGGGGAGCGUUCUGUAAGCCUGUGAAGGUGUACUGUGAGGUAUGCUGGAGGUAUCAGAAGUGCGAAUGCUGACAUAAGUAACGAUAAAGCGGGUGAAAAGCCCGCUCGCCGGAAGACCAAGGGUUCCUGUCCAACGUUAAUCGGGGCAGGGUGAGUCGACCCCUAAGGCGAGGCCGAAAGGCGUAGUCGAUGGGAAACAGGUUAAUAUUCCUGUACUUGGUGUUACUGCGAAGGGGGGACGGAGAAGGCUAUGUUGGCCGGGCGACGGUUGUCCCGGUUUAAGCGUGUAGGCUGGUUUUCCAGGCAAAUCCGGAAAAUCAAGGCCGAGGCGUGAUGACGAGGCACUACGGUGCUGAAGCAACAAAUGCCCUGCUUCCAGGAAAAGCCUCUAAGCAUCAGGUAACAUCAAAUCGUACCCCAAACCGACACAGGUGGUCAGGUAGAGAAUACCAAGGCGCUUGAGAGAACUCGGGUGAAGGAACUAGGCAAAAUGGUGCCGUAACUUCGGGAGAAGGCACGCUGAUACGUAGGUGAAGCGACUUGCUCGUGGAGCUGAAAUCAGUCGAAGAUACCAGCUGGCUGCAACUGUUUAUUAAAAACACAGCACUGUGCAAACACGAAAGUGGACGUAUACGGUGUGACGCCUGCCCGGUGCCGGAAGGUUAAUUGAUGGGGUUAGCGCAAGCGAAGCUCUUGAUCGAAGCCCCGGUAAACGGCGGCCGUAACUAUAACGGUCCUAAGGUAGCGAAAUUCCUUGUCGGGUAAGUUCCGACCUGCACGAAUGGCGUAAUGAUGGCCAGGCUGUCUCCACCCGAGACUCAGUGAAAUUGAACUCGCUGUGAAGAUGCAGUGUACCCGCGGCAAGACGGAAAGACCCCGUGAACCUUUACUAUAGCUUGACACUGAACAUUGAGCCUUGAUGUGUAGGAUAGGUGGGAGGCUUUGAAGUGUGGACGCCAGUCUGCAUGGAGCCGACCUUGAAAUACCACCCUUUAAUGUUUGAUGUUCUAACGUGGACCCGUAAUCCGGGUUGCGGACAGUGUCUGGUGGGUAGUUUGACUGGGGCGGUCUCCUCCUAAAGAGUAACGGAGGAGCACGAAGGUUGGCUAAUCCUGGUCGGACAUCAGGAGGUUAGUGCAAUGGCAUAAGCCAGCUUGACUGCGAGCGUGACGGCGCGAGCAGGUGCGAAAGCAGGUCAUAGUGAUCCGGUGGUUCUGAAUGGAAGGGCCAUCGCUCAACGGAUAAAAGGUACUCCGGGGAUAACAGGCUGAUACCGCCCAAGAGUUCAUAUCGACGGCGGUGUUUGGCACCUCGAUGUCGGCUCAUCACAUCCUGGGGCUGAAGUAGGUCCCAAGGGUAUGGCUGUUCGCCAUUUAAAGUGGUACGCGAGCUGGGUUUAGAACGUCGUGAGACAGUUCGGUCCCUAUCUGCCGUGGGCGCUGGAGAACUGAGGGGGGCUGCUCCUAGUACGAGAGGACCGGAGUGGACGCAUCACUGGUGUUCGGGUUGUCAUGCCAAUGGCACUGCCCGGUAGCUAAAUGCGGAAGAGAUAAGUGCUGAAAGCAUCUAAGCACGAAACUUGCCCCGAGAUGAGUUCUCCCUGACCCUUUAAGGGUCCUGAAGGAACGUUGAAGACGACGACGUUGAUAGGCCGGGUGUGUAAGCGCAGCGAUGCGUUGAGCUAACCGGUACUAAUGAACCGUGAGGCUUAACCUU
RNAcentral lists this ribosomal RNA (2902 nucleotides) under Shigella flexneri 3a. Its description in RNAcentral is "23S ribosomal RNA". It matches the Rfam family "Bacterial large subunit ribosomal RNA". The record is from RNAcentral. Lineage: Bacteria; Pseudomonadati; Pseudomonadota; Gammaproteobacteria; Enterobacterales; Enterobacteriaceae.